GCAGGCGGUUCGCUUUGACAGAUGUGAAAUCCCCGGGCUUAACCUGGGAAUCGCAUUUGUGACUGGCGGGCUAGAGUAUGGCAGAGGGGGGUAGAAUUCCGCGUGUAGCAGUGAAAUGCGUAGAGAUGUGGAGGAAUACCGAUGGCGAAGGCAGCCCCCUGGGCCAAUACUGACGCUCAUGCACGAAAGCGUGGGGAGCAAACAGGAUUAGAUACCCUGGUAGUCCACGCCCUAAACGAUGUCAACUAGUUGUCGGGUCUUCAUUGACUUGGUAACGUAGCUAACGCGUGAAGUUGACCGCCUGGGGAGGACGGUCGCAAGA
Molecule: ribosomal RNA, 322 nt
Filed under: Burkholderia sp. OSi08
Lineage: Bacteria; Pseudomonadati; Pseudomonadota; Betaproteobacteria; Burkholderiales; Burkholderiaceae
Description: bacterial SSU rRNA
Rfam family: Bacterial small subunit ribosomal RNA
Source: RNAcentral